UUCAUUUGUAAUUUCAGUGGUUGAUGGUUAAGCAUCGGAAAGUGAAUACCAGCAAACAAAAUAGUUAGAAUUUGGAAGUUUGUAAACAUUUUGAAUUGAAAGCUUUUAGUUUGAACAAAGCAGUUUAGAAGUCUCUACGAUUGUUGCAAGCUACCGGGUUGUUUUAAAACGAUAAUUCCCUACGGGAAUGGUCGCAGUCCUUCGAAUAGGUAGUUUGCAAUAAUCUGGUAACUUCGGAGCUUCGGAAACUAGUUGUCUCAGGAACUAAGUGUCUCGGAGACUAGGUGUCCCAGAACUAGUUGUCUCAGGAACUAGAUGUCUCGGGGAUAGAUGUUUCAGAACUGGUUGUCUCAGGAUCUAGGUGUCUUAGAAGUAAGUGUCUCAGAAACCAAAGGUUUGACGCCUGUUCUCUGUUAUAGUUUUUGAAAGGAUAUACUUGUUUAGAAAAUCAGUUGGGAACUCGGAGUUAGAAAAGGAUUAACGAUAAAUUAAGUUUGUAGACUACUUUUUGAUACAAGGUUAAUUGUGUAUUAAGUUUCAAAGUUUAAAGUUUGGUCUCGUAGUUUUAAGUAAAGCCUCCAGGUUUAGUAAGGUUUUGAGUUACAUUUUUAUAAAAAGAAAAAGAUUCUUUGAAAAGGGAUACUUUAUAAGUCAAACACGUUACAUCAUCAUCGGGUUUGUACUUACAUGUGCAACACGAGAAGUGCCACAUGUGGAUCAGCAUAUGCAUACCCUCCGAAAGCACAUA
RNAcentral lists this long non-coding RNA (748 nucleotides) under Mytilus galloprovincialis (Mediterranean mussel). Lineage: Eukaryota; Metazoa; Mollusca; Bivalvia; Mytilida; Mytilidae. The record is from RNAcentral.